RNAcentral lists this ribosomal RNA (301 nucleotides) under uncultured bacterium. Its description in RNAcentral is "partial 16S ribosomal RNA". It matches the Rfam family "Bacterial small subunit ribosomal RNA", at positions 509 to 807 of the family's 1533-position model. The record is from RNAcentral.
CAGCCGCCACGGGAAUACGGAGGGUGCAAGCGUUAAUCGGAUUUACUGGGCGUAAAGCGUGCGUAGGUGGCUGUUUAAGUCGGAUGUGAAAGCCCUGAGCUUAACCUGGGAACUGCAUUCGAUACUGGAUAGCUAGAGAUCGGUAGAGGGCAGCGGAAUUCCGGGUGUAGCGGUGAAAUGCGUAGAUAUCCGGAGGAACACCGAUGGCGAAGGCAACUGCCUGGGCCUGAUCUGACACUGAGGCACGAAAGCGUGGGUAGCAAACAGGAUUAGAUACCCCCGUAGUCCCUGUCUCUUAUAC